This is an unclassified non-coding RNA of Macaca fascicularis (crab-eating macaque), 148 nucleotides long. It matches the Rfam family "Metazoan signal recognition particle RNA". Rfam says of the family: The signal recognition particle (SRP) is a universally conserved ribonucleoprotein. It is involved in the co-translational targeting of proteins to membranes. The record is from Ensembl. Lineage: Eukaryota; Metazoa; Chordata; Mammalia; Primates; Cercopithecidae.
GCCUGGUGUGGCAACGCACACCUGUAGUCCUAGCUACUUGGGAGGCCGAGAUGGGAGGAUCAUUUGAGCCCAGGAGUUCAAGGUUGCAGUGAGCUGUGAUGCUACCACUGCACUUCAGCCUGGGCUGUAGAGUGAGACCCUGUCUCAA